CAGCAAAAAAAAAAACUAGGAAAAAGGACUGUGAAAUAAAUAAUGAUUACUUUAGUUUGUGCCCUGACCCGGUGAAGGAGGCCCCCAGUCAGGCGCAUUCAGAGAUCUGGGAGCUGAAGAUGCCUUGGCUGUCAGACAUGAGGUCGGGUGCAGUGCCAGCAGCCUGGGCCCCUCCUGGGACCUCCGGGCCACUAGCUGCAGGGAGGGGAGCAGCCCAUGCACCCUUGCCCCACUGACUGGGAACCAGGUCCCCUCUCCACAUCCAUCUGCCCAAAAGAGAUGCUAUUGAAGUAUUUAAAAAUCACUACUGUGUCACUUUUCUGAGCCACUUUUCCCCAUCAAACCCAUUCUUCUGGUCAAGUAGGGAUAAUCUGCAACAGGAAUUAGGGGAAGGUUGUGGGAGAAGUCACUUGAGUAAACAGCAGAAAUGUGCCUGUUGACAUCUCCUCGGAGGUUCCUGUCUGAAUCACCCCACAGCGGGCCCCUAGGCGGUCUGACUGCGGGGGCGGGGGACCCGAGGUCACAUCUCUCUGGCCACAAAGCCCGCGACAGGUCGGGGCAGACAAACCUGUCUGCAAGCGCCGCAUUUGCACGCCUCGACCUCCAGGUGGCGCUAGACUAGGACGGAGCAUGCAGUCUGUCACCCGUGUGCGGGGCGGGGCCUUGGAAAUGCUGACUUCUGAUUGGCUGGGCUCAGUCUCGCUUUCUUUUCGUGUCCAGAGCAGGUCUUGGGGAGGGCGCCCAGUCUCGGCGCCUGAGCUAAGCAGGAGGAAGUGUGUGCGUACGUGUGUGUUUCAUGUUAUUUUUUUUCUUUACAAUUAAAACUGUUUCCAUUUUUUCAUACUUUAUAAGGCAUCUCAUAAAUUUACACACCAGGGAACAUCCCUGGUUGGACCUAUUUAUAAUAAACAUCAUUUAUUUAUAAGGGAGCCAAGGUUUAGGGCCUACCACUCAGCCAGACCUUCCUUUUUGGUUUCCCUAGUCUUUGACUGUUGCACGUGCAUUACCAAUAUAACUGUACCUUGGAUGUCUUUUAUUUGCACAUUUGACGACUGCUUGUUAAGCUUCCACUAUCUGCCAGGCGUUGGGCGGGGCUUUGCGGAGUCAAGGCGAGCAGAACAGACCUGGCCCUGCCCGCAAGGAGGUCGCAGACGUGAACCAGCAAUCACAGACACCUCAAGAUGCAGAGAAUAAGGCGUGACCUGUCUGAGGUCACACUCUAGAAAGGAGCAGCAUCAGGACUCAGAUGCAGGUAUUUGUCCAUAAGCACUCAUCUUAGUCACCAGGAAUGUUGGGGAACACAGUUUUACGUGCUGUGAGGAGACCUGAAGAAAUAUGUCACCCUCCCUGCCCUCAGGGAGCUUACAGUCCAUCCAGGAAGAGGAGAAGAGCACAUGUCAAAAAGCUUCAAGGUUCCAGGUCGUAUGUGUUGAAUGAAUGGAGACAUGAAGCAUAAACGUUUCAAGGAAGGUGUGCGUCUGGGCUGGGUGGCUGCUAACUUCAUGACUGGGACAACACUGAAGACUCUUUCCUGAUACUCUUCAAGUGCUUGUUUCUCUAAAACUACCACUCCUUUCUGGUUUAUAGCCCAGGGCCAUCCUGGACAGUCGCCACCAGGCCUGCCAUCACUAUGGGGUGGCCCAAGGCCAUGUCUGCCAGGAACACCACCAUUUGGUAUUUAUCUAUGCAAAAUUUACAUUGACCGCUGAUGAGCAAAACAGUGCGCUCCACAUAUAGAUUGAGGGUGUGGGGCUUUUGCCACUGGAGUUCCCCCUGUGUUGAGUCACGGUGGCAGAAGGCACAGUGACAGAAGUCCCUGGGAGCCGCUGACUGGCGCUUGGAGGACUGAGUGAUUCAGCAGCGAGGCCCCCCUCUGGCCCUCCUGCCCCAGAAAGCUCUGGAUCUGCACGGAAGCAGCACGGUAAAGGGUGGACGAAUUGUGGGUGUGGAUGCUUUCCCACAAGUCUGUGCUCCCCAGUUCAGUUGUCUGGGCUCUUAUUAAAAGGGUUCGUUCUCCUCCUUAGAGUCAGACGGAGGCCCCCUGUGGGCUGCUGCUUGGGAACGGCCGGGGGUGUUCUCUGGCUGGGGCUUCAGAGGAUGCAAGGACAACCCCACAGAGCAGGAACAGCCUGCCAGUUCCAUGCCCGCAGCGGCCCCCAGAGCAGCUGCCCCAGGACACACGGAUGAGAGGGGAGGGUGUCAGAGGGGCUUCGGUAGACUUGUUGCCAUGGAAGAACUGUGGGACCAGUACAGCCAGACAUCCUAACUUUUCCAGAGAAGCCAUAAAUCUGGAUUUUCCUGUGAAGUCUUCUGACAUUUCACCCUUUGCAACCCAUUAAAUUGUUUUAAAAACA
Equus caballus (horse) is the source of this 2354-nucleotide long non-coding RNA. RefSeq lists it as uncharacterized. NCBI's taxonomy places the organism in Eukaryota, Metazoa, Chordata, Mammalia, Perissodactyla, Equidae. The record is from RefSeq and is a predicted model, not a curated record.